GGGAUGCGCAUGCGCACACAGAUCGCGCGAGCCUUGAACUUUCUAAGGGAAAAAAAAACUUUCUCGCCGACGGUGCCAGUGGAUAACAGUCUUCAGUACCUGCUGGUCUUUAAAGGAUUCUGGAUUUCUGGACUGUUGGAAAAGAUCAUGGCUCAGCAGUGGACUGUUGGAGAAGUAUCUCUUUGGCUUGGGGAAAAUGAAUUGGGAGAUUAUCAACAGGUCUUUGUAGUGGAAGGCAACACAAAGAAAAGCAUACUGUGCCAGCACUCCAACCUAUGUUUAACUGCAAAGUGCAGUUUCCUCCAGCUGUGCUCACUGCGUUGACCAAUAAAGAUGCAGCACUAAAGUCACCCACCAAGAACAGACUCAAAAACAUGCUUAUUCAAGCACUGUUUGACCACUUGAGUAAUGAGACAAUGUAUCCCUCUCAUGUGCAGUAUGUAGAGCUUCUGAGGACUGUCCUUCUGAGUUUUCCUUUUUUGAAGGAGAGUUAUGGCUCUGGAUAUGAUGCUCUGCAUGAGUCUCUCAGGAACAAGUUUAAAAAGGAAAGAAGACCACUAGUAGACAUAGAGGAAAUUGAAAAAAUGAGACAGAAAUACUCAGUUCCAAAUUCAGGAAGAAAAAGAUCAUCAGAUGUCCAGCCCUGUAUCCUUUUGAAAAAAACCAAG
This is a long non-coding RNA of Oreochromis aureus, 668 nucleotides long. NCBI's taxonomy places the organism in Eukaryota, Metazoa, Chordata, Actinopteri, Cichliformes, Cichlidae. The record is from Ensembl.